GCUGUUGCCAGAGAAUUGAAUGUUAAUUUCUCUACCAUAAGACACAGACACAACGUCGUUUUAGAGAAUUUGAUAGUAUGUCCAACCGGCCUCACAACCGCAGACCACAUGUAAACACGUCAGCCCAGGACUUCCACAUCCGGCUUCUUCACCUUCGGGAUGAUUUGAGACCAGCCACCCGGACAACUGAUGAAACUGAGGAGUAUUUUUGUCUGUAAUAAAGCCCUUUUGUGUGGGGAAAUGAAUUCGUAUUGGCUGGGCCUGACUCCCCAGUGGGUCUAUGCCCUCCCAGGCCCACACAUGGCUGUGCCCCUGCUGAAAUUGACUGAUUUCCUUAUGUGAACUGUAACUUGUUAAAUUGUUGCAUUUAUAGUUUUGUUCAGUGUAUAUAUAUGACCAUAGAGAUUCUGUCAAAUGACUCAUUCCUAAUUCUAUGAUCCUGACCUGGUUGUGACAUCAUAAGGGCGGUUGUCAUAGUUCCCAUGGAUUUAGAACCAGAAUGUUGGACCAGAAUUUAACAGUGUGAUUUGCAAAUGAGUUGACAGUCUUUUUUGCUUUGCUCACACAAAUAGUGUUUAAAUCUCAUACCAGUGUUGAUUAAAUGUCGAAAAUAUAUGAGAAGUAUUCUGACGGCGACUCUGCUGGAAUACUUCAUUCCCAGGUGAGAAGAGACUUUUCCUUCUUUUUUUUAUAAUGAUUUGUGCUGGUUACUUCAAAGCUAGUCAGUAAUGUGAGCAUGCCGUUAUUCUGAUAAUCUACUGUGCAUUCGGAAAGUAUUCAGACCCCUUGACUUUUUCCACAUUUUGUUAUGUUACAGCCUUAUGCUAAAAUAUAUUAAAUACUUUUUUUCCCCUCAUCAAUCUACCCCAUAAUGACAAAGCAAAAGCAGGUUUUUAGAUUAUUAUUUUUUUAAUUUGUAAAAGAAAUUGGGGGAGAUAUCACAUUUACGUAUGUAUUCAGACACCUUACUCAGUACUUUGUUGAAGCAACUUUGGCAGUGAUUACAGCCUCAAGUCUUCUUAGGUAUGACGUUACAAGCUUGGCACACCUGUAUUUGGAGAGUUUCUCCCAUUCUUUUCUGCAGAACCUCUUCAGCUCUGUCAGGUUGGACAUCUCUUUUCAGAGAUGUUCGAUCGGUUUCAAGUCCAGGCUCUGGCUGGGCCACUCAAGGACAUUCAGAGACUUGUCCCGAAGCCACUCCUGCAUUGUCUUGAAUGUGUGCUUAGGGUCGUUGUCCUAAUGGAAGGUGAAUCUUCACUCCAGUCUGAGGAUCUCUCUGUACUUUGCUUCGUUCAUCUUUCCCUCAAUCCUGACUAGUCUCCCAGUCCCUGCCGAGGAAACGUUUUUAUUUAAUACAUUCUAGAAUAAGGCUGUAACGUAACAAAAUGUGAAAAAAGUAAAGCGGUCUGAAUUCUUUCCGGCGCUACUGUGUUUUGCUACAUACUUCCAUUCCUUUCUCUCUCACUAGUUCUCUCCUCAGGAACAAGUGAUGAAGUUCCUGACUGAGAAGGAGGAGGAGGAGGCGUGGAAGGACUUCUUUGACUCUCAUCUCCAGGAGAAGCUCUGUGAGGAGAGAAGAUGGACGGAGAAGAAGUUCAGCAACCGGAAGAGGGAGGUGGAGAGCUGGAUCGUUGAGAUACAGCAGGAGUGGAGAUGGAGGGAGAAGGCUCAGAGGGACAUGGUGUUCAAGCUGCUGAUUAUGGACCUUCCUCAGAGGAGGAGAGUCAUUGAGAACCUCCGAGAGACGGACGACCCCGCCAGCGAUCAGCUGGAGAGAGAGAUGGACGGAGAGGACAGGAGGACGGAAAACAUUGGGAUGAUAAAGAGGAGUGAAGAGGGAGAUGGAAGGAGAGGAAAAGAGGUGGAGGAGAUGAAUGAGGGGUGCCGCCGCUGCCAAGGGGACGGAGCGAGAGGGAAGGAGAGAAACCAGAGCCGUGAAAGCAGACGAGGAGAAAACACGGCAUGACAUUCGAAGAGAGGAAGAAAAGAGGAAAAUCGAGGAGGGGGACAAGAAGGACGAGAUACUGAGUGUGUGAGAUUCGGUGAGAGAGAAGAGAAGGGACAGAGAGAGGAGGAGAGGAAGAGUCGAGAAACUGGGAUUGAUGGUAACAUUGAAAGUGAGGCAGUUGGUUUGAUGGAAGACAACAGAACGAUGCCUGAAGACGGUGUCGGACGGAUUGAGACAGAAAAGGAAAGGAGGAGUGAGAAGGCUGUGAGGGCAGAGGAAAAGGAGGCGUCUGAGGAGAGGGAAAUAAAGUUGGAGAAGAAGAGGAAAAUAGAGGCUAAGCGAGUGAUAGAGGAGGAGGAGAAGAAGUCUGAGGGUGAACAGAGUGAGAAAAAGACAAACGAGACAAAGCAAGAAAAGCAGACUUCCACAGAGACAGAACUGAGUGACUGGGAUGAGGACAGUGAGGAGGAAGAGAUUGGGGCGGUGAAAUUGGAGAUGAAACAGAAGAGCGAGGUCGUGAAGAAGAGGUCUGAGGGUGAACAGAGUGAGAAAAAGACAAAAGAGACAAAGCAAGAAAAGCAGACUUCAACAGAGACAGAACUGAGUGACUGGGAUGAGGACAGUGAGGAGGAAGAGAUUGUGUCGGGGAAAUUGACGAAGAAGAAACAGAAAGAGCUGGAAGAGAGGAAGAAGGAGGAGGAAAGGGUGAGAAAGGAGGAGAAGAAGAAGGAAGAAGAGCGCCUGAUGAAUAGGGAGGAGGACAAGAGGAAAGAGGAGGAGAAGAAGCUACUAGAACAGGUGAGCCUGAAAGUCCUGCAGGAAUCCUGGAAGAAGGCUAAAGGGGAGGACAGGAAGAGAUCUGAGGCACCCAAAAUGGAAGCAGAACAGCAGCGCCAGUGGGCAGUUUUUUUCAGUGAUUUGAGGGAGGAGGAGGAGGAGAACAGGAGGAAGGUGUUCGCUGUCCAGGGGGGAAACCAGAUGUUUCAUAAAAAUCAAGUUGUCAAGAGGACAACACACCAGGACCCAGGAAAUGAGUCAGCAAUAUCGGUGAGUUCAUCUGAGGACACUGGCUCUGAGUGGGAGCGGCAGUGGGAGGAAGAGAAGAGGAGGGAGAAGGAGAGGAAGGAGGAGGAGGAGAAGAGGAAGAGACUGGAAGAUAAGAAGAGGGAGGAGAUGGCGAAGGAACGGGAGGAGCAGAAGAAUAGAGAGGCGGAGGCGAAGUGGCAGGCACGUCUGGUUCCGAAGAAAAAGAAAGGUGUAUUUAAGUCAUUCUUCAACAUUUUCAUGUAAAUGAAAACAUGACAUAUUUUCAUCAUUUGAAUCAAGCGUUUAUCAAAUGGAAUAAAAAC
This 3297-nucleotide long non-coding RNA is filed under the name Salmo salar (Atlantic salmon). Its description in RNAcentral is "lncRNA (ENSSSAG00000109677.1)". Lineage: Eukaryota; Metazoa; Chordata; Actinopteri; Salmoniformes; Salmonidae. The record is from RNAcentral.